GCGUAACCAAAAAUCUGGUUACAUCCUCGACCUAAGUAUCCGCACGAUAACUCCUAACACGAUCGCUGUACACUCUGGGGACUUGGCGGUGCCCCAAACCCACCUAAAGGAGCCUGUUCUAUAAUCGAUAACCCACGAUACACCCAACCACUCCUUGCCAAAGCAGCCUACAUACCGCCGUCGCCAGUUCACCUCCCUUGAGAGAACAGCAGUGAACAUAACAGUCUCCACCCACUAACAAGACAGGUCAAGGUAUAGCCUAUGGAAGUGGAAGAAAUGGGCUACAUUUUCUAAUAAUAGAAAACUUCACGAAAAGAGGUGUGAAAUCACCUUAGAAGGCGGAUUUAGCAGUAAAGCAGGACAAUCGAGCCUCCUUUAAACUGGCCCUGGGACACGUACAUACCGCCCGUCACCCUCCUCAG
Molecule: ribosomal RNA, 422 nt
Filed under: Streptoprocne rutila (chestnut-collared swift)
Lineage: Eukaryota; Metazoa; Chordata; Aves; Apodiformes; Apodidae
Description: partial 12S ribosomal RNA
Source: RNAcentral